This 253-nucleotide ribosomal RNA is filed under the name uncultured bacterium. RNAcentral's name for it is "partial 16S ribosomal RNA". It matches the Rfam family "Bacterial small subunit ribosomal RNA", at positions 524 to 776 of the family's 1533-position model. The record is from RNAcentral.
UACGUAGGUGGCAAGCGUUGUCCGGAUUUAUUGGGUUUAAAGGGUGCGUAGGCGGCCUUAUAAGUCAGUGCUGAUAUAUCCCGGCUUAACCGGGAGGGUGGCAUUGAUACUGUAGGGCUUGAGUGGAAUUGAGGUUGGCGGAAUUGACGGUGUAGCGGUGAAAUGCUUAGAUAUCGUCAAGAACACCGAUAGCGAAGGCAGCUAACUAAACUCUAACUGACGCUGAUGCACGAAAGUGUGGGGAUCAAACAGG